CCUACGGGAGGCAGCAGUCGAGAAUCAUUCACAAUGGGGGAAACCCUGAUGGUGCGACGCCGCGUGGGGGAAUGAAGGUCUUCGGAUUGUAAACCCCUGUCAUGUGGGAGCAAAUUAAAAAGAUAGUACCACAAGAGGAAGAGACGGCUAACUCUGGGCCAGCAGCCGCGGUAAUCCAGAGGUCUCAAGCGUUGUUCGGAGUCACUGGGCGUAAAGCGUGCGUAGGCUGUUUCGUAAGUCGUGUGUGAAAGGCGCGGGCUCAACCCGCGGACGGCACAUGAUCCUGCGAGACUAGAGUAAUGUAGGGGGAACCGGAAUUCGCGGUGUAGCAGUGAAAUGCGUAGAUAUCGGGAGGAACACUCGUGGCGAAGGCGGGUUCCUGGACAUUAACUGACGCUGAGGCACGAAGGCCAGGGGAGCGAAAGGGAUUAGAUACCCCUGUAGUC
This 446-nucleotide ribosomal RNA is filed under the name uncultured bacterium. Its description in RNAcentral is "partial 16S ribosomal RNA". It matches the Rfam family "Bacterial small subunit ribosomal RNA", at positions 338 to 795 of the family's 1533-position model. The record is from RNAcentral.